CAGUAGCCGCGGUAAUACGUAGGGUGCAAGCGUUAAUCGGAAUUACUGAGCGUAAAGCGUGCGCAGGCGGUCCGCUAAGACAGAUGUGAAAUCCCCGGGCUUAACCUGGGAACUGCAUUUGUGACUGGCGGGCUAGAGUAUGGCAGAGGGGGGUAGAAUUCCACGUGUAGCGGUAAAAUGCGUAGAGAUGUGGAGGAAUACCGAUGGCGAAGGCAGCCCCCUGGGCCAAUACUGACGCUCAUGCACGAAGGCGUGGGGAGCAAACAGGAUUAGAUACCCCGGUAGUCCCUGUCUCUUAUAC
RNAcentral lists this ribosomal RNA (301 nucleotides) under uncultured bacterium. Its description in RNAcentral is "partial 16S ribosomal RNA". It matches the Rfam family "Bacterial small subunit ribosomal RNA", at positions 509 to 807 of the family's 1533-position model. The record is from RNAcentral.